GCCAGGAUGGCCGAGUGGUUAAGGCGUUGGACUUAAGUUCCAAUGAGCAGAUGCUCUCGUGGGUUCAAACCCCACUCCUGGUA
Molecule: non-coding RNA, 83 nt
Organism: Oreochromis niloticus (Nile tilapia)
Lineage: Eukaryota; Metazoa; Chordata; Actinopteri; Cichliformes; Cichlidae
Source: Rfam